UUUCUUAACAUUAUUAUUAUUAUCGAUUUUUUUAGGAAAGACCAUGUGUUCUGAUGCUUUAACAUUUUUUAUUCUUCUGUUGGUGCCUUUCUAUUAGAUUCUACAAAUUGUUAUUUCUAUAGGAUAUCCAUUUUAAAAAACAAAGUGAGGUGUCUAGAUCAGUAUGUAUAUUAGGUUAUCUAUUGCUGCAUAACAACAUACCCUAAAAAUUAGCAGCUUAAAAUAACAAACACUUGUAUCAUAAUUGUGGUGGAUUAAGACAUCAGGCACAAUAUACUUGGGUGCUUCUGACUCAGAACUCUGAGGAGGUUAUAGUCAGGAUGGUGGCUGUGGCUGAUGCUCAUCUGAAGGCUUGACAGGGAGUGGAUUCACUUUCAAGCUCAGUCAUGUGGUUGCUGGCACAAUUUAAUUCUUUGUGGGAUAUGGGACUGAGAGCCUGAAUUCCUUACUGUUUGUUGGUUUGGGGCCUCCCUAGGUUCCUUGCCACACAGGCUUCCAAAGGGAAGUUUACAACAUGGGAGCU
This is a long non-coding RNA of Sapajus apella (tufted capuchin), 523 nucleotides long. RefSeq lists it as uncharacterized. The record is from RefSeq and is a predicted model, not a curated record. NCBI's taxonomy places the organism in Eukaryota, Metazoa, Chordata, Mammalia, Primates, Cebidae. The transcript is spliced from 3 exons.